GUGCUGUGAUGACACCUUAAAAUUGUGGUUUCUACUCACUGAGAGUAACAUGAGGACCUACUAUUCCUUGGCUGUGUCUGAGCAC
Camelus dromedarius (Arabian camel) is the source of this 85-nucleotide small nucleolar RNA. Ensembl annotates it as small nucleolar RNA, C/D box 92. Its record names the gene SNORD92. NCBI's taxonomy places the organism in Eukaryota, Metazoa, Chordata, Mammalia, Artiodactyla, Camelidae. The record is from Ensembl.